This 428-nucleotide ribosomal RNA is filed under the name uncultured bacterium. RNAcentral describes it as "partial 16S ribosomal RNA". It matches the Rfam family "Bacterial small subunit ribosomal RNA", at positions 354 to 796 of the family's 1533-position model. The record is from RNAcentral.
GUGGGGAAUAUUGCGCAAUGGGGGAAACCCUGACGCAGCAACGCCGCGUGAUUGAAGAAGGCCUUCGGGUUGUAAAGAUCUUUAAUUGGGGACGAAAUAAAUGACGGUACCCAAAGAAUAAGCUCCGGCUAACUACGUGCCAGCAGCCGCGGUAAUACGUAGGGAGCAAGCGUUAUCCGGAUUUACUGGGUGUAAAGGGCGAGUAGGCGGGCCGACAAGUUGGGAGUGAAAUCCGGGGGCUUAACCCCCGAACUGCUUUCAAAACUGUUGGUCUUGAGUGAUGGAGAGGCAAGCGGAAUUCCUAGUGUAGCGGUGAAAUGCGUAGAUAUUAGGAGGAACACCAGUGGCGAAGGCGGCUUGCUGGCUCGAUACUGACGCUGAGGUGCGAAAGCGUGGGGAGCAAACAGGAUUAGAUACCCGGGUAGUCC